Molecule: ribosomal RNA, 503 nt
Filed under: uncultured bacterium
Lineage: Bacteria
Description: partial 16S ribosomal RNA
Rfam family: Bacterial small subunit ribosomal RNA
Source: RNAcentral
AUUGAACGCUGGCGGCAGGCUUAACACAUGCAAGUCGAGCGGAGUGAUGGUGCUUGCACUAUCACUUAGCGGCGGACGGGUGAGUAAUGCUUAGGAAUCUGCCUAUUAGUGGGGGACAACGUCUCGAAAGGGAUGCUAAUACCGCAUACGUCCUACGGGAGAAAGCAGGGGAUCACUUGUGACCUUGCGCUAAUAGAUGAGCCUAAGUCGGAUUAGCUAGUUGGUGGGGUAAAGGCCUACCAAGGCGACGAUCUGUAGCGGGUCUGAGAGGAUGAUCCGCCACACUGGGACUGAGACACGGCCCAGACUCCUACGGGAGGCAGCAGUGGGGAAUAUUGGACAAUGGGGGGAACCCUGAUCCAGCCGUGCCGCGUGUGUGAAGAAGGCCUUAUGGUUGUAAAGCACUUUAAGCGAGGAGGAGGCUCUUUUGGUUAAUACCCAAGAUGAGUGGACGUUACUCGCAGAAUAAGCACCGGCUAACUCUGUGCCAGCCGCCGCGGUAA